AAGAAUGCUUCUCUGUGACGUCACCGAGUAGAAUGAAAAAUUGUUUAAAUUUUUGAUUUUCAAAAUCUGAAAAAUGUCUAUCUGGGUGGGGGGAAUUUUAAUGCUCCCCACGUCAUGAGGAAACUCAGUGUUUUAAAUGUUUUAAAUUGAACCGUAGAAAAGUUCGCACAUAUGUAGACACUGGUUUUGUGCUGAAGAUAAUGAAAAUGGGGCUGAAAAGCAGUGGCUAAAUGUCGAAUGCGUGUCCUACAAUGCCAAACUAACAUCCCUGGUUGCUAAUUAGCUAAAGGAGAAAACUAAGAAAAUAAACAAACUAUUUUGUUUAUCAACAGGGGUGUCGUGUUUCGCUCUCCCUACCACACGGGGCCGCCCACGCGGACCUGGGAAGGAGCUACGCCUACUUGCCAUCCGCCUAGUUGGCGUCACUACACCGUGCGACGUUGCUGUGGAGACCCGCCGCUGGUAAAUUGAUGUAUCCUGUUUUGCCGCAAAUAUGUAACCGCGUCAAAUCAUAAUCAAUGAUUAUUGUGUAGUCUUCCCACUUACUGGACAAGCAAACAUAUGGUUUGAAAGUGGUGCACCUGUAAAGCAGGAUAGCAUCAGAAACCACCAAAUCAAAGUAAGCAUCAACAAACUCAACAUGCAUUUUUUUCCCCUUGCAACUGUGUCCCUCUGGGCCGUGGCUCCGGUGGACUUGCUAUCAAGUGGGGCCAAAGCCAGACCACUAGUACUUUUCAGCUUUCAUUUAAACAACAAUGUCUAACUGUGAACUUUAGCACCUUCUCACAAAGCAACUGUUUUGAUUAUACAGAGGUUGUUGAUUGUGUGCUUCACAAGUCCUUACUGUCAGCCCUAGCUAUGAAAACACAAUUUCCCUUGUAUAACAUAAGGGUAAGUAUACACAAUGCACUAAACCCCUGACCCCCUACUGUAACACUGGUGUCACAGUCGAAAGCAGCAUAUUUUGUGUAUUGAUGGUAAGAUAUUGGCUAGUGCAACAUUGUGGACUCAAUUUGAACCUGAAUGCAUCACCAACAUGUCCUGUUAUCCUUUUCAGUCAUAGUUUUUUUGAAAUGUAUUUGACCUUUAUGACCAAAGUUAUCCUAUUUCCACUUUGUUCUCAAUUGACACUAGAAUAAAUGUUUCUGACUAAUAUCAAUGCCACAUAAGCUGUUUUCUACCAGAGAAAUUGUUUAUUGCCUUCAGUUGCUCUUUAAUUGCAUUUCUCAUUCUAUUCGGCCUCAUGAAAGGACCCUUCAGACUUUUCGGUAUAGGAGUAUUUCUUUAGAGAUCCGGGAGAGAACAUAAAUGAUAUUACGGGAGAAAGAAAAAGUGGAUGAGACCCAAGAGGAGGGUUGGAGAGGAGAUGAUAUGUGUGCCGUUGAAGAAACCGAUGGAGGGGAAAUUGAAGUGGAGAACAACAAGGGAUCGUAGGUGGCCUUCUAUUUCUUUUCAUCCAACUCUCUCUCACUCUCGCUCACUCGCGUUGCUCCCACUCCCUCUGUCUCUCCCUCCCCUGUUCUUGUUUCCUCUGAGUGGUUGUGUGUGGAAACUGAAGGGUAGUAGGUGACAUUUCAUAGGCUGUCAUACACAAGCACCAGAGUAACAGAACAGUGUUAACGCAGCCAAAAACAGUCCUCCACCACUGCGCCAAGCAUCUCCUCUGCCUCCCUUCUACCAGCCAUUGGCAUCAUAUGUUUCCAUACACUAGUUAUUAAUCCAAAACCUCAAGCCAUAUUCCAUUAUUCUUUUCAUCCCUCACUCCCAUUCCUUCUCCAAAGAGUGUGAAGAAACUGUGACCCCCAGUAGCCAACUUGUCUAGGGUGAGGUAACAGUUUUGCUGUUAUACACAAUAACGUAAGUAAGUAAGCACACUAUAUACAGGAAAUAUUUAAAAAGUUAGUUCCAAUACUAUAUUUACAGUUGAAGUCGGAAGUUUACAUACACUUAGGUUGGAGUCAUUAAAACUUGUUUUUCAACCACUCCACAAAUUUCUUGUUAACAAACUAUAGUUUUGGCAAGUUGGUUAGGACAUCUACUUUGUGCAUGACACAAGUCAUUUUUCCAACAAUUGUUUACAGACAGAUUAUUUCACUGUACCACAAUUCCAGUGGGUCAGAAGUUUACAUACACUAAGUUGACUGUGCCUUUAAACAGCUUGGAAAAUUCCAGAAAAUUAUGUCAUGGCUUUAGAAGCCUCUGAUAGGCUAAUUGACAUAAUUUGAGUCAAUUGGAGGUGUACCUGUGGAUGUAUUUUAAGGCCUACCUUCAAACUCAGUGCCUCUUUGCUUGACAAUGGGAAAAUCAAAAGAAAUCAGCCAAGACCUCAGAUAAAAAAUUGUAGACCUCCAAAAGUCUGGUUUAUCCUUGGGAGCAAUUUCCAAACGCCUGAAGGUACCACGUUCAUCUGUACAAACAAUAGUACACACGUAUAAACACCAUGGGACCACGCAGCCGUCAUACCACUCAGGAAGGAGACGCGUUCUGUCUCCUAGAGAUGAACGUACUUUGGUGUGAAAAGUGCAAAUCAAUCCCAGAACAACAGCAAAGGACCUUGUGAAGAUGCUGGAGGAAACAGGUACAAAAGUAUCUAUAUCCACAGUAAAACGAGUCCUAUAUCGACAUAACCUGAAAGGUUGCUCAGCAAGGAAGAAGCCACGGCUCCAAAACCACCAUAAAAAAAGCCAGACUACGGUUUGCAACUGCACAUGGGGACAAAGACUUUUUGGAGAAAUGUCCUCUGGUCUGAUGAAACAAAAAUAGAACUGUUUGGCCAUAAUGACCAUCAUUAUGUUAGGAGGAAAAAGGUGGAGGCUUGCAAGCCGAAGAACACCAUCCCAACCGUGAAGCACGGGGGUGGCAGCAUGUUGUGGGGGUGCUUUGUUGCAGGAGGGACUGGUGCACUUCACAAAAUAGAUGGCAUCAUUCUUUUGGCGAGAUUGGAAACCCAAAUUGGUCUACACGGACAAGUUAUGGCCUGGUUCUAGAUCUUAUCUGUCGGAAAGAUAUCAGUUUGUCUCUGUGAAUGGUUUGUCCUCUGACAAAUCAACUGUAAAUUUCGAUGUUCUGCUUUAGGACCACUAUUGUUUUCACUAUAUAUUUUACCUCUUGGGGAUAUCAUUCGAAAACAUAAUGUUAACUUUCACUGCUAUGCGGAUGACACACAGCUGUACAUUUCAAUGAAACAUGGUGAAGCCCCAAAAUUGCCCUCGCUGGAAGCCUGUGUUUCAGACAUAAGGAAGUGGAUGGCAGCAAACUUUCUACUUUUAAACUUGGACAAAACAGAGAUACUUGUUCUAGGUCCCAAGAAACAAAGAGAUCUUCUGUUGAAUUAAUCUUGAUGGUUGUACAGUCGUCUCAAAUAAAACUGUGAAGGACCUCAGCGUUACUCUGGACGCUGAUUUUGACGAACAUAUCAAGACUGUUUCAAGGACAGCUUUUUUCCAUUUACGUAACAUUGCAAAAAUCAGAAAUUUUCUGUCCAGAAAUUAUGCAGAAAAAGUCAUCCAUGCUUUUGUUACUUCUAGGUUAGACUACUGCAAUGCUCUACUUUCCGGCUACCCGGAUAAAGCACUAAAUAAACUUCAGUUAGUGCUAAAUACGGCUGCUAGAAUCCUGACUGGAACCCAAAAUUGUAUCAUAUUACUCCAGUGCUAGCCUCCCUACACUGGCUUCCUGUUAAGGCAAGGGCUGAUUUCAAGGCUUUACUGCUAACCUACAAAGAAUUACAUGGGCUUGCUCCUACCUAUCUUUCCGAUUUGGUCCUGCCGUACAUACCUACACGUACACUACGGUCACAAGACGCAGGCCUCCUUAUUUUCCCUAGAAUUUUUAAGCAAACAGCUGGAGCCAGGGCUUUCUCCUAUAGAGCUCCAUUUUUAUGGAAUGGUCUGCCUACCCAUGUGAGAGACGCAGACUCGGUCUCAACCUUUAAGUCUUUACUGAAGACUCAUCUCUUCAGUAGGUCAUAUGAUUGAGUGUAGUCUGGCCCAGGAGUGUGAAGGUGAACGGAAAGGCACUGGAGCAACGAACCGCCCUUGCUGUCUUUGCCUGGCCGGUUCCCCUCUCUCCACUGGGAUUCUCUGCCUUUAACCCUAUUACAGGGGCUGAGUCACUGGCUUACUGGUGCUCUUCCAUGCCGUCCCUAGGAGGGGUGUGUCACUUGAGUGGGUUGAGUCACUGACGUGGUCUUCCUGUCUGGGUUGGCGCCCCCCCCUUGGGUUGUGCUGUGGCAGAGAGCAUUGUGGGCUAUACUCGGCCUCAGGAUGGUAAGUUGGUGGUUGAAGUUAUCCCUCUAGUGGUGUGGAGGCUGUGCUUUGGCAAAGUGGGUGGGGUUAUAUCCUGCCUGUUUGGCUCUGUCCGGAGGUAUCAUCGGAUGGGGCCACAGUGUCCCCUGACCCCUCCUGUCUCAGCCUCCAGUAUUUAUGCUCCAGUAGUUUGUGUUGGGGGGCUAGGGUCAGUCUGUUAUAUCUGGAGUAUUUAUCCUGUCUUAUCCGGUGUCCUGUGUGAAUUUAAGUAGGCUCUCUCUAAUUCUUUCUUUCUUUCUCUCUCUCGGAGUACCUGAGCCCUAGGACCAUGCCUCAGGACUACCUGGCAUGAUGACUCCUUGUUGUCCCCAGUCCACCUGGCCGUGAUGCUGCUCCAGUUUCAACUGUUCUGCCUGCGGGUAUGGAACCCUGACCUGUUCACUGUGAUUACUAUUAUUGGACCAUGCUGGUCAUUUCUGAACAUUUGAACAUCUUGGCCAUGUUCUGUUAUAAUCUCCACCCGGCACAGCCAGAAGAGGACUGGCCACCCCUCAUAGCCUGGUUCCUCUCUAGGUUUCUUCCUAGGUUUUGGCCUUUCGAGGGAGUUUUUCCUAGCCACCGUGCUUCUACACCUGCAUUGCUUGCUGUUUGGGUUUUUAGGCUGGGUUUCUGUACAGCACUUUGAUAUAUCAGCUGAUGUAAGAAGGGCUAUAUAAAUACAUUUGAUUUGAUGAGGAAGGGAAAUUAUGUGGAUAUAUUGAAGCAACAUCUCAAGACAUCAGUCAGGAAGUUAAAGCUUGGUCGCAAAUCUUCCAAUGGACAAUGACCCAAAGCAUACUUCCAAAGUUGUGGCAAAAUGGCUUAAGGACAACAAAGUCAAGGUAUUGGAGUGGUCAUCACAAAGCCCUGACCUCAAUCCUAUUGAAAAUUUGUGGGCAGAACUAAAAAAGCAUGUGCGAGCAAGGAGGCCUACAGUCCUGACUCAGUUACACCAGCUCUGUUAGGAGGAAUGGGCCAAAAUCCACCCAACUUAUUGUGGCAAGCUUGUGGAAGGCUAUCCGAAACGUUUGACCCAAGUUAAACUAUUUAAAGGCAAUGCUACUAAACACUAAUUGAGUGUAUGUAAACUUCUGACCCACUGGAAAUGUGAUGAAAGAAAUAAAAGCUGAAAUAAA
Salvelinus fontinalis (brook trout) is the source of this 5422-nucleotide long non-coding RNA. RefSeq lists it as uncharacterized. NCBI's taxonomy places the organism in Eukaryota, Metazoa, Chordata, Actinopteri, Salmoniformes, Salmonidae. The transcript has 2 exons. The record is from RefSeq and is a predicted model, not a curated record.